CCAUGCAGUCGAACGAUGAACCACUUCGGUGGGGAUUAGUGGCGAACGGGUGAGUAACACGUGGGCAAUCUGCCCUGCACUCUGGGACAAGCCCUGGAAACGGGGUCUAAUACCGGAUAACACUUCGGGCCUCAUGGUCUGUGGUUAAAAGCUCCGGCGGUGCAGGAUGAGCCCGCGGCCUAUCAGCUUGUUGGUGAGGUAAUGGCUCACCAAGGCGACGACGGGUAGCCGGCCUGAGAGGGCGACCGGCCACACUGGGACUGAGACACGGCCCAGACUCCUACGGGAGGCAGCAGUGGGGAAUAUUGCACAAUGGGCGAAAGCCUGAUGCAGCGACGCCGCGUGAGGGAUGACGGCCUUCGGGUUGUAAACCUCUUUCAGCAGGGAAGAAGCGAAAGUGACGGUACCUGCAGAAGAAGCGCCGGCUAACUACGUGCCAGCAGCCGCGGUAAUACGUAGGGCGCAAGCGUUGUCCGGAAUUAUUGGGCGUAAAGAGCUCGUAGGCGGCUUGUCACGUCGGGUGUGAAAGCCCGGGGCUUAACCCCGGGUCUGCAUUCGAUACGGGCUAGCUAGAGUGUGGUAGGGGAGAUCGGAAUUCCUGGUGUAGCGGUGAAAUGCGCAGAUAUCAGGAGGAACACCGGUGGCGAAGGCGGAUCUCUGGGCCAUUACUGACGCUGAGGAGCGAAAGCGUGGGGAGCGAACAGGAUUAGAUACCCUGGUAGUCCACGCCGUAAACGGUGGGAACUAGGUGUUGGCGACAUUCCACGUCGUCGGUGCCGCANCUAACGCAUUAAGUUCCCCGCCUGGGGAGUACGGCCGCAAGGCUAAAACUCAAGGGAAUUGACGGGGGCCCGCA
This 856-nucleotide ribosomal RNA is filed under the name uncultured bacterium. RNAcentral's name for it is "bacterial SSU rRNA". It matches the Rfam family "Bacterial small subunit ribosomal RNA", at positions 53 to 925 of the family's 1533-position model. The record is from RNAcentral.